UUCAGAAGGAGAGAAUUACAACAUGGGGGGUGUCGUGGUAAACGUCGUCGUCAAGCACGUUUUGCAUAUCUUCUUGUGUACGCCAACAGCAAAGUUGAAGGAAACCAUUAGCUGUUUGCACAAACUACCCAUCUGAUAAACAGUCCCAGUUUAUCUCUUUUCUGCUUUUUUACCGGAUUUUCGCCGAGAUUUCAGCCCAUUGUUUGUUCUUUUUUUGUGGGUAUUCGGAUUAUUAUACGCAAAGAGGGCGGUGGUGAAAUGCAGACGGAAGCGAGAGUGGGGGUGGUGAAUACGACGUCGUCGGUGGUGGUGGAGCCGCGGCGACAGAGGCAAAUCGGGACGGCGUCGCAGCUUCUGGCUGGUGGGGUUGCCGGAGCCGUCAGCAAAACUUGUACGGCUCCCCUCGCCCGUCUCACAAUUCUUUUUCAGGUUCAGGGGAUGCACUCUGAUGCUUCUAGCUUAGGAAAGGCUAGCAUCUGGCAUGAAGCAUUAGGAAUUGUUAGAAAGGAAGGAGUGAGGGCAUUUUGGAAGGGAAAUUUGGCUACAAUUGCACACCGUCUUCCCUAUUCCUCCAUUAGCUUUUAUGCAUUUGAACACUACAAGAAUCUGUUACAUGAUAUUGUAGGAGUUGAAAGCCAAGGAGAGAAUGUUAGUGCAGACAUUUGCAUACGACUUGUAGGUGGUGGUUUGGCUGGAGUAACUGCUGCUUCUGUUACGUAUCCCCUGGAUCUUGUGAGGACGCGCCUUGCAACACAGAGAAAUGUGAUCUAUUAUAGAGGGAUAUGGCAUGCUUUGUAUACCAUUAGCAAAGAAGAAGGUGUCUUUGGCCUUUAUAAGGGACUUGGUGCAACUUUGUUGGGUGUUGGCCCAAAUCUGGCCAUUAGCUUUUCAGUAUAUGAAACUGCAAGAUCUUAUUGGCAUUUUCACAGACCUGAAGACUCAACUGUUUUGGUCAGCCUUACAUGUGGGAGUCUUUCAGGAAUUGCAUCAUCAACAGUAGCAUAUCCCCUGGAUCUUGUGAGACGACGGAUGCAGUUGGAAGGAGCUGGUGGUAGAGCUCGUGUGUAUAACACGGGUCUUUUUGGUACAUUCAGACAUAUAAUCAGAUCCGAAGGUUGGUGUGGUCUGUAUCGAGGGAUACUACCUGAAUACUACAAGGUUGUCCCAAGUGUGGGCAUUGUCUUCAUGACGUACGAAAAAUUGAAGCAGAUUCUAUCGACCAUUCCUGAAAGUUGAUGAGUUGACGUCUAAUACAAGAUGAAAUUUAUGAUGUUCACAAUGUCUCUUGGAGUGCAGCAUGAGUGUCAACUUUGCCACCCUUGCUCCUUGGUACUCAAUAGCAAGUGUAUAGGUACUUACACAAACGACUUGGAUAUUGGCAGGGUAGGGUCAAGUAUAGUUUAUAAAGUUGGCAGCAAUUCUUUAAAGCCCUAUUUACUUGAGUGGAUGGGAUUGGAUUGGAUUAGAUCCUUCCUGUCUAACAAAACCAGGCGUUUACUUUGGUAAAUAGAUGUUUUAGCUAUGCUUAUAAAAAUGAUGCCAACAAACUGUAGACAAUAACUAUUUACUACAUUUAUUUUUAACUGUUGCCUA
Molecule: RNA transcript, 1593 nt
Organism: Sesamum indicum (sesame)
Lineage: Eukaryota; Viridiplantae; Streptophyta; Magnoliopsida; Lamiales; Pedaliaceae
Source: RefSeq, a predicted model, not a curated record